CGAACGCUGGCGGCGUGCUUAACACAUGCAAGUCGAACGAGAAAACUCCCUUCGGGGAGCGAGUAAAGUGGCGCACGGGUCCGUAACACGUGGAUAAUCUGCCUUUGGGUGGGGGAUAACUCGUCGAAAGAUGGGCUAAUACCUCAUAAGACCACAGGAUCUUAGGAUCUCGGGGUAAAAGGUGGCCUCUGUUUCAAGCUAUUGCCUGAAGAUGAGUCCGCGUACCAUUAGCUUGUUGGUGGGGUAAAGGCCCACCAAGGCAAAGAUGGUUAGCUGGUCUGAGAGGACGAUCAGCGACACUGGAACUGAGACACGGUCCAGACUCCUACGGGAGGCAGCAGUGGGGAAUUUUGGACAAUGGGCGAAAGCCUGAUCCAGCAACGCCGCGUGAGUGAUGAAGGUCUUCGGAUCGUAAAGCUCUGUCAGAUGGAACGAAUAUGGGUGACCCAACACGUCACCCCUUGACGGUACUAUCAAAGGAAGCACCGGCUAACUCU
RNAcentral lists this ribosomal RNA (497 nucleotides) under uncultured bacterium. RNAcentral's name for it is "bacterial SSU rRNA". It matches the Rfam family "Bacterial small subunit ribosomal RNA", at positions 30 to 504 of the family's 1533-position model. The record is from RNAcentral.